Molecule: ribosomal RNA, 1482 nt
Filed under: metagenome
Description: bacterial SSU rRNA
Rfam family: Bacterial small subunit ribosomal RNA
Source: RNAcentral
AGAGUUUGAUCCUGGCUCAGGAUGAACGCUGGCGGCGUGCCUAAUACAUGCAAGUCGAACGCUUCACUUCGGUGAAGAGUGGCGAACGGGUGAGUAAUACAUAAGUAACCUGGCAUCUACAGGGGGAUAACUGAUGGAAACGUCAGCUAAGACCGCAUAGGUGUAGAGAUCGCAUGAACUCUAUAUGAAAAGUGCUACGGGACUGGUAGAUGAUGGACUUAUGGCGCAUUAGCUUGUUGGUAGGGUAACGGCCUACCAAGGCGACGAUGCGUAGCCGACCUGAGAGGGUGACCGGCCACACUGGGACUGAGACACGGCCCAGACUCCUACGGGAGGCAGCAGUAGGGAAUUUUCGGCAAUGGGGGAAACCCUGACCGAGCAACGCCGCGUGAAGGAAGAAGUAAUUCGUUAUGUAAACUUCUGUCAUAGAGGAAGAACGGUGGAUAUAGGGAAUGAUAUCCAAGUGACGGUACUCUAUAAGAAAGCCACGGCUAACUACGUGCCAGCAGCCGCGGUAAUACGUAGGUGGCGAGCGUUAUCCGGAAUUAUUGGGCGUAAAGAGGGAGCAGGCGGCACUAAGGGUCUGUGGUGAAAGAUCGAAGCUUAACUUCGGUAAGCCAUGGAAACCGUAGAGCUAGAGUGUGUGAGAGGAUCGUGGAAUUCCAUGUGUAGCGGUGAAAUGCGUAGAUAUAUGAGGAACACCAGUGGCGAAGGCGACGAUCUGGCGCAUAACUGACGCUCAGUCCCGAAAGCGUGGGGAGCAAAUAGGAUUAGAUACCCUAGUAGUCCACGCCGUAAACGAUGAGUACUAAGUGUUGGGGGUCAAACCUCAGUGCCGCAGUUAACGCAAUAAGUACUCCGCCUGAGUAGUACGUUCGCAAGAAUGAAACUCUAAGGAAUUGACGGGGGCCCGCACAAGCGGUGGAGCAUGUGGUUUAAUUCGAAGCAACGCGAAGAACCUUACCAGGUCAUGACAUCGAUCUAAAGGCUCCAGAGAUGGAGAGAUAGCUAUAGAGAAGACAGGUGGUGCAUGGUUGUCGUCAGCUCGUGUCGUGAGAUGUUGGGUUAAGUCCCGCAACGGGCGCAACCCCUGUUGCCAGUUGCCAGCAUUAAGUUGGGGACUCUGGCGAGACUGCCGGUGACAAGCCGGAGGAAGGCGGGGAUGACGUCAAAUCAUCAUGCCCCUUAUGACCUGGGCUACACACGUGCUACAAUGGACAGAGCAGAGGGAAGCGAAGCCGCGAGGUGGAGCGAAACCCAUAAAACUGUUCUCAGUUCGGACUGCAGUCUGCAACUCGACUGCACGAAGAUGGAAUCGCUAGUAAUCGCGAAUCAGCAUGUCGCGGUGAAUACGUUCUCGGGCCUUGUACACACCGCCCGUCACACCAUGAGAGUCGGUAACACCCGAAGCCGGUGGCCUAACCGCAAGGAAGGAGCUGUCUAAGGUGGGACUGAUGAUUGGGGUGAAGUCGUAACAAGGUA